This 392-nucleotide ribosomal RNA is filed under the name uncultured bacterium. Its description in RNAcentral is "partial 16S ribosomal RNA". It matches the Rfam family "Bacterial small subunit ribosomal RNA", at positions 523 to 918 of the family's 1533-position model. The record is from RNAcentral.
AUACGGAGGAUCCGAGCGUUAUCCGGAUUUAUUGGGUUUAAAGGGUGCGCAGGCGGCCAUUUAAGUCAGCGGUUAAAUCGUGGGGCUCAACCCCAUUCUGCCGUUGAUACUGGGUGGCUUGAUUGCGGUCGAGGUUGGCGGAAUUCGUUGUGUAGCGGUGAAAUGCUUAGAUAUGACGAAGAACACCGAUUGCGUAGGCAGCUGCCCAGACCGAAAAUGACGCUCAUGCACGAAAGUGCGGGGAUAGAACAGGAUUAGAUACACUGGUAGUCCGCACAGUAAACGAUGAAUACUUGUUUUCGGCGAUAUAAUGUCGGAGGUAAAGCGAAAGCGAUAAGUAUUCCCCCUGGGGAGUACGCCGGCAACGGUGAAACUCAAAGGAAUUGACGGGG